GACACUAUUACCAUUGCCACAACAAAACGAAUGAAAUCACGCAUCUCUGAACCCAAUUAUCUACCUCUCUGACGAUACCUCUUUAGCCUUAAGAAUGAAGUAAAAUAUUCUUGCUCUCGCCUCUCUCUAAAGGUUGUACUACAUCCCACUAUUUUUCUUCAUCAUGACCCUAGCUCUUUUAAAUUCUAUUCGAGAGGUGUCCCACCAUCUCUUAAAACUUUCCUUAGAACUACAUUACUCACCAAAUAUUAGAAAAUCACAACCUUAGGUACUCGCAAGUCGUAAUUACUACACAAAAUUCGCUUAAUCAACAAUCUCAUUAUAUAUUUGCAUCACAUCACAAUCCACCACGAACUCUUAUUACCAUUAUGCUCAGUCAGCCCUGACUAUCACUACGAAGCCAACCUUUCAUCAACACGACACCUCAAACUCAGGUAUACUCAUCAAAUUCAAAGGACUAACCCAAUUUUUAUACGCACCUUCCUACUAACAUCUUCAAUUUCCUUCGCCCAAGUAUACUCAAUGGAACUUUGUUAUCCAUAAGUUUGUCAUUCCGGUAUCAAUCCAUUCUUUUAUGGCUUAAGAUAAAAUCACCAGUCCUCAUACCACCCUCCUUCUUCUUAACAAACAAGAUAGGAGCACCCCAC
Molecule: long non-coding RNA, 647 nt
Filed under: Solanum tuberosum (potato)
Lineage: Eukaryota; Viridiplantae; Streptophyta; Magnoliopsida; Solanales; Solanaceae
Description: long non-coding RNA (STUB_LNC000351)
Source: RNAcentral